Long non-coding RNA from Bufo bufo (common toad), 1595 nucleotides. RefSeq lists it as uncharacterized. The transcript is spliced from 3 exons. The record is from RefSeq and is a predicted model, not a curated record. NCBI's taxonomy places the organism in Eukaryota, Metazoa, Chordata, Amphibia, Anura, Bufonidae.
AACUGUAUUUUUUUACCAUUUUAUGAGCAGCUGAUGUUUUUUGCAUCAUCUUUAAUCUUCCUUCCAUUAAAUAUAUGACAUGACGACUAAGUAUCUUGCACUGUUGCUUACCUUCCAACUUUCAAAAAGGCCAAAGAGGGACAUAACUAAUUUAUUUGACAGUAAAUCAUGCAUUUAACUCUGCCCAUUGCCUAUCUAUACACAGUCCCUAUUUUACCCCCACACAGUGGUUAUGUCCCCUUACUACCACACAUAGUAGUUAUCCCCUUAGUGCACCCACACAGAAGAUAUGCCACCUUAGUGUCCCAUACGGUAGUUAUGCCCCAUAGUUCCCCAUACAGAGUAGAAUGCCCUUUGUGCCCCACACAGAGUACAAUGCCCUUUUAUGCCCCCUCACCCAACAGUAGAAUGCUCUGACACAUAGCAGAAUGCCUCUGUGUAACCUUAAGCCUUUGUGCCCCCCACAGAGUAGAAUGUCCCAUUGUGACCCCACAUACAACAGAAUGCCUCACUGUGCCCCCAUACAGUGUACAAUUUACCAUUGUGCCCCUACACACAGUAGAAUGUCCCACUGUGCCCCCUCAUACAGUAGAAUGCCCCAUUAUACCCCUACAUUCAGCAGAAUUCCCCAUUGUGCCCCCACAAAGAGUACAAUGUCCCAUUGUGCCCCCCACACAGCAAAAUUCCCAUUUGUGCCCCCACACAUAGUAGAAUUCCCCCCUGACAAUAGAGAAGCUGUUCUGUUAGUAAUGGUACUCAUCCUGCUCUACCCAGCAGCAGGCGCAAUAAAGGGACAUCAUCAUCGCCCUCUGGGCUAAGCACAAAAUCCUACAGGCCAGGAGAUAGUGCCUGUUGUCUCAUACAUAAAUUGAACUUGCAACUAUUUAGCAUAAGAUUAAUUAUGUAGAUUCUUGUCAUGUAACUGCAUUGUUACUGUUUUGCUCAGGGUGGUGGAAAAAUCUUUUUCUUCUUAUAUAUUACAAAUUACAACCUGUUCUCAUAUUCCCUAAUAGCUCAGUGUAUUAUAAGGUUGAUUCCCAAGCGAAAUGUCUACUGGUUAAAAUCCAGGAGCAGCUUUUAAGAAGAUUUCCCAGGAAAAACAGAAACAGCCUUAUCCAGCUCAUUGAUAGUGGUAUCUCGGCCAAGAAAAUUGCCUAUCUGCAUCAUAUGAGUGCCAUAAGAGUUGGAAAAAUAUGAAAUGAAGUCUGUUCAUCCAUUCCAAAGCCAAUAGGUGGACGUCCAGGUAAAGUAUUGGAGUCAACAAGUCGGCUCCUUACAAGGUCUAUCAGUUCUGGCACGACAAACACGUCAGUGGAGGUGGCUCGUAUGAUUCAUAAUAGUGAGAUCAUAGACGUCCAUGUAAGCACCGUGCAACAUGCAUUACGUAAGUCUGGAAUGGUGCCCGAAAAAAGGUGAAGAAGCCUUGACGGGUGAUUUGGAGUGCUGUGACGAAAGUCAAUAUACUUGCCUCUGAUGGGUGCAAAUGGUUCAAAUAGUUCCCCCCUUCCCUGCCAUACUGAUAUUCUUCUGCUCAAUAAUGCUCUGCAGUCAUGGUCCUGGGCUGGCUUGAAACACAGCAAAAGGCUGGAAAUGCU